UACGUAGGGACCGAGCGUUGUCCGGAUUCAUUGGGCGUAAAGCGCGCGUAGGCGGCCCGGUAAGUCCGCUGUGAAAGUCAAAGGCUCAACCUUUGAAUGUCAGCGGAUACUGCCAGGCUAGAGUCCGGAAGAGGCGAGUGGAACUCCUGGUGUAGCGGUGGAAUGCGCAGAUAUCAGGAAGAACACCGACGGCGAAGGCAGCUCGCUGGGACGGUACUGACGCUGAGACGCGAAAGCGUGGGGAGCGAACAGG
This 253-nucleotide ribosomal RNA is filed under the name uncultured bacterium. RNAcentral describes it as "partial 16S ribosomal RNA". It matches the Rfam family "Bacterial small subunit ribosomal RNA", at positions 524 to 776 of the family's 1533-position model. The record is from RNAcentral.